RNAcentral lists this ribosomal RNA (496 nucleotides) under uncultured bacterium. RNAcentral's name for it is "partial 16S ribosomal RNA". It matches the Rfam family "Bacterial small subunit ribosomal RNA", at positions 29 to 507 of the family's 1533-position model. The record is from RNAcentral.
AUGAACGCUGGCGGCGUGCCUAAUACAUGCAAGUCGAGCGGACAGACGAGGAGCUUGCUCCUCUGACGUUAGCGGCGGACGGGUGAGUAACACGUGGAUAACCUACCUAUAAGACUGGGAUAACUUCGGGAAACCGGAGCUAAUACCGGAUAAUAUAUUGAACCGCAUGGUUCAAUAGUGAAAGACGGUUUUGCUGUCACUUAUAGAUGGAUCCGCGCCGCAUUAGCUAGUUGGUAAGGUAACGGCUUACCAAGGCGACGAUGCGUAGCCGACCUGAGAGGGUGAUCGGCCACACUGGAACUGAGACACGGUCCAGACUCCUACGGGAGGCAGCAGUAGGGAAUCUUCCGCAAUGGGCGAAAGCCUGACGGAGCAACGCCGCGUGAGUGAUGAAGGUCUUCGGAUCGUAAAACUCUGUUAUUAGGGAAGAACAAAUGUGUAAGUAACUAUGCACGUCUUGACGGUACCUAAUCAGAAAGCCACGGCUAACUACGUG